CCUACGGGAGGCAGCAGUGAGGAAUAUUGGUCAAUGGUCGAGAGUCUGAACCAGCCAAGUAGCGUGAAGGAUGACUGCCCUAAGGGUUGUAAACUUCUUUUAUAUGGGAAUAAAAUGUUCCACGCGUCGGCUUUUGUAUGUACCAUAUGAAUAAGGAUCGGCUAACUCCGUGCCAGCCGCCGCGGUAAUACGGAGGAUCCGAGCGUUAUCCGGAUUUAUUGGGUUUAAGGGGAGCGUAGGUGGAUUGUUAAGUCAGUUGUGAAAGUUUGCGGCUCAACCGUGACAUUGCAUUUGAAACUGGCAGUCUUGAGUACAGUAGAGGUGGGCGGAAGUCGUGGUUUAGCGGUGAAAUGCUUAGA
This 359-nucleotide ribosomal RNA is filed under the name uncultured bacterium. RNAcentral's name for it is "partial 16S ribosomal RNA". It matches the Rfam family "Bacterial small subunit ribosomal RNA", at positions 338 to 694 of the family's 1533-position model. The record is from RNAcentral.